This is a long non-coding RNA of Chelonia mydas (Green sea turtle), 336 nucleotides long. RefSeq lists it as uncharacterized. The transcript is spliced from 2 exons. The record is from RefSeq and is a predicted model, not a curated record. Lineage: Eukaryota; Metazoa; Chordata; Testudines; Cheloniidae.
UAUGCAAGUCAGCUGACCCAGCCAGGCAGUAGAUCUUUACAAAAUCUUUAGUUUUCCAUCCUCCUCCUAAGCUUGUUUGAUGAAGAAAAUAAUAUUUAAUUGGUAACAUUUUCCUUGCUUAGGUAUAUUUUAAUUAUGAAUUCUGCCUGAUUGCAACUUUCUGGACCCGUCUCAUUCAUUUCUCAGGAAGCUCCUGCUCUUGGAUUGAAUCAGUGUUGUAUAGCAAAGGACACUGUUGCCUGUCAACCCGUGCCUCAUUUGUUGUGGAAGCUGGAAGGUGUGUGGUGAAUGAAGGCAGGGGACUGCAGAAAAAUGAAGGGUGGUCUCAUGAUCAAG